This 323-nucleotide ribosomal RNA is filed under the name uncultured eukaryote. RNAcentral describes it as "partial 18S ribosomal RNA". It matches the Rfam family "Eukaryotic small subunit ribosomal RNA", at positions 1470 to 1796 of the family's 1831-position model. The record is from RNAcentral.
CCCUUAGAUGUUCUGGGCUGCACGCGUGCUACACUGAUAUUGCCAAUAUGUCAUUCUUAUCCGAAAUGGAUUGGGUAAUCAAGUAAUGAAAUUUCAUGCUUGGAAUCGGUAAUUGCAAUUUUAUCGUGAACGGGGAAUUCCUAGUAAGCACUAGUCAUCAGCUAAUGUUGAUUAUGUCCCUGCCCUUUGUACACACCGCCCGUCGCUACUACUGAUUGGGUGUUCAAGUGAGAUGCUUAGACCCUUGUUGCAUGGUUCAUUAUUGUGCUCCGAAAGGAAAAAGUUUCAAGCUUGAGUGUCUAGAGGAAGUAAAAGUCGUAACA